UACGUAGGUCCCGAGCGUUGUCCGGAUUUAUUGGGCGUAAAGCGAGCGCAGGUGGUUUAUUAAGUCUGGUGUAAAAGGCAGUGGCUCAACCAUUGUAUGCAUUGGAAACUGGUAGACUUGAGUGCAGGAGAGGAGAGUGGAAUUCCAUAUGUGGCGGUGAAAUGCGUAGAUAUAUGGAGGAACACCGGUGGCGAAAGCGGCUCUCUGGCCUGUAACUGACACUGAGGCUCGAAAGCGUGGGGAGCAAACAGG
This 252-nucleotide ribosomal RNA is filed under the name uncultured bacterium. RNAcentral describes it as "partial 16S ribosomal RNA". It matches the Rfam family "Bacterial small subunit ribosomal RNA", at positions 524 to 776 of the family's 1533-position model. The record is from RNAcentral.